AUUGAACGCUGGCGGCAUGCUUUACACAUGCAAGUCGAACGGCAGCGCGGGCUUCGGCCUGGCGGCGAGUGGCGAACGGGUGAGUAAUAUAUCGGAACGUACCCAAGAGUGGGGGAUAACGUAGCGAAAGUUACGCUAAUACCGCAUACGAUCUAAGGAUGAAAGCAGGGGAUCGCAAGACCUUGUGCUCCUGGAGCGGCCGAUAUCUGAUUAGCUAGUUGGUGAGGUAAAGGCUCACCAAGGCAACGAUCAGUAGCUGGUCUGAGAGGACGACCAGCCACACUGGAACUGAGACACGGUCCAGACUCCUACGGGAGGCAGCAGUGGGGAAUUUUGGGCAAUGGGCGAAAGCCUGACCCAGCAACGCCGCGUGGGUGACGAAGGCCUUCGGGUCGUAAAGCCCUUUUCCUGGGGGGACGAGUAAUGACGGGUACCCCAGGAAGAAGCACCGGCUAACUACGUGCCAGCAG
This 470-nucleotide ribosomal RNA is filed under the name uncultured bacterium. RNAcentral describes it as "bacterial SSU rRNA". It matches the Rfam family "Bacterial small subunit ribosomal RNA", at positions 29 to 514 of the family's 1533-position model. The record is from RNAcentral.